ACCUACGGGGCGCAGCAGUGGGGAAUAUUGCACAAUGGGGGGAACCCUGAUGCAGCGACGCCGCGUGGGUGAGGAAGUACUUCGGUAUGUAAAGCCCUAUCAGCAGGGAAGAAAAUGACGGUACCUGACUAAGAAGCCCCGGCUAACUACGUGCCAGCAGCCGCGGUAAUACGUAGGGGGCAAGCGUUAUCCGGAUUUACUGGGUGUAAAGGGAGCGUAGACGGCGUGCCAAGUCUGGUGUGAAAGGCCGGGGCUCAACCCCGGGCCUGCAUGGUACAUGGGCAUCCUG
Molecule: ribosomal RNA, 289 nt
Filed under: uncultured bacterium
Lineage: Bacteria
Description: partial 16S ribosomal RNA
Rfam family: Bacterial small subunit ribosomal RNA
Source: RNAcentral